AUACUUUUUUAAUGUAUCACAAUGAGCAAGAAACAUACUUGAUGAAAUAUUUUCAAAGGAGUAUAUUCAAUUACCAUCUACAAUCAACUUAACUAGGACAACAAGUUUUUGUGACAAAAGUUUCUUUAAAAGUCUGAAGUUCCAUGUGGUUGUAUGUAUGUUAGUUUCCAUGUAAUUUGGUACAGUUUGGAAAUCUUCAUAUAAUUACAGUAACAAAAAAGCUAACAAGACUACAGUAUAGAAAAGACAUCAAGAACAACAUUUUUGGUUUAACUUGCUCUUUUUUGUACAUUGCAAGGCUGUUUUUUUCUACCCUCAGAUGGGCUGCCUGGAGCCACAGAGCCAUGCUUAUGAGGCUCGAAGGAGGAGUAAUUCAAGGAAACAAAAAGAAAAAAACAAACAAAAAAGAAAAAAAAAAUAAAAGGAUAAAAAAAACAUUGUGGCACCAGAAGUCACAAAAGGAACAGAGAGCUCCAAGUAACAGUUCAUCUUUGAAGUUGGAGCAAAUGGUUGUUUGGUUGUUAGUUUGGUUGUUAAUUUUGGUUAAUAUGCUUUUUUUUUUUUCUUUUUCUUAGUGUAACUGCCUCUUUAAGAAUGACAGCUUUGAGAACCCAUCCCCUCUCUGUGUUGUUAAUUUCUCUGUUUAGAUAAUGUAACCAACAGAGAGAGGGGUGAGCCGCCAUUUGACUGGAGAGCUUUACUUGUCAACUGCAGACAAGCACGAGGAAAUGAAACGGGUAGCAACAUGAACUGGAAGAUAUGAAGCAAGCAUCUCUGUCCAUCCUGUCCUGAAAUUUGGAAAAUGUCCAUCAAAGAGCAGAAGCGGAGGCAGAGCUGGAGAAAUAAAGGACAGACAGAAAGGAGAAAGAGGCAGCUGGAGCCACUUAAGUUCAGUUUCCUCUAAAGACUUUCCUCUGUGUAUGACAUACGUCCAUUGGUUCCAGAGUCCAUUCGCAUUACAGAGUUGUCAGUAAUCAAAUAAGGAGGUGGUUUUUAAAGCUGUUUUGAGCCUGGCUUUGGCUCCCAUGCCCAGUUUUGUGUGCCCAGAGCCUCUCUUGUCCUCCUAACAAGAUCUCCAAAGCUUCCCAGAGUCCUUUAUCAUUUCUUUUUAUUCCUUCUUCAUCUCAAAAAACAAACAAACAAAUAAAAGAAAACAAACAGUUGAUGUCUUGGUUUUAAAUAUAUCUAUAUCUGUAUACAGGUACACUUUCGUUUUCACAGUGGGCAAAAGAUGACCUCUACAGCAAGACCUUGUCUUUAUCCCUCUCUUGUAAUUGUCCAUUAAAAUCAAGUAUCCCAAAUGUAAGGAGGUGGAUCCCUGUAUCCACAAUAGCAUUGUGUGCCGCAAUAAAAUAUACACUUAUCCGGGGCACGUUUUUUUUUCCUUUGUGUUUCAACUGCAUAAAGCUUUGGCCACAUUCAUAUAUUCAAUCAAAGUAAAAACUGCUCAGUGCUUCGGUAUCAUCGUUCUCAUUUCCAAUCGUUAUCUUUUAAAUUAGAUUUUCUGAAUUUCAGUUAUUCACAAUCCAGCUUCGUGGUUCAGCUUGUUUUGGUGAGUAACAUAUAACCAAAAAAUAAUAAUAAUUAAAGGCAAAGAAGAAAAAAAAAUUGAAUUGAUGCUGGCUCUUAUGACACGCACGCACAUACACGCGCACAAACGUACAACGCACACUUACAUAAACACACAAACCCAUACAGAGUACAUGCUGGCUGAAUCUAAUGUGAAGACCUCAACUGUGUCUUCCACAAAAGAGCCCAAAAGAUUACAC
Astatotilapia calliptera (eastern happy) is the source of this 1769-nucleotide long non-coding RNA. The record is from Ensembl. NCBI's taxonomy places the organism in Eukaryota, Metazoa, Chordata, Actinopteri, Cichliformes, Cichlidae.